UACAGAGGUCUCAAGCGUUGUUCGGAUUCAUUGGGCGUAAAGGGCGCGUAGGCGGCGGGGUAAGUCGGGUGUGAAAUCUCAGGGCUCAACCCUGAAACUGCACUCGAUACUGCUCUGCUUGAGGACUGGAGAGGAGACUGGAAUUCACGGUGUAGCAGUGAAAUGCGUAGAUAUCGUGAGGAAGACCAGUGGCGAAGGCGGGUCUCUGGACAGUAACUGACGCUGAGGCACGAAGGCCAGGGGAGCAAACGGG
This 253-nucleotide ribosomal RNA is filed under the name uncultured bacterium. Its description in RNAcentral is "partial 16S ribosomal RNA". It matches the Rfam family "Bacterial small subunit ribosomal RNA", at positions 524 to 776 of the family's 1533-position model. The record is from RNAcentral.